CAAGUCCCCGAGGAGCAGCUCCGAGGCCCGAGCGCGCGGCUGAGAGGCGCCGCCGCCGCCGCCGCCGCCGGGAUGCGCUCUGCCUAGCGAGACUGCCGAGAGACGCCUGAAGGCCACCGCGCCAAGGACACGCGGCCCGCCGCUCCUCGCGCGCCCGAGCCCGCACGCCGCCAGUGCCGGAGCCGCGGAGAGCGCGAGCGAAGGGCGGCAGGAGGGAGAGCGCGCGGGAGGCAGCCCCUCCUCAGCGAGCCAUGCGUGCCGCGAGCAGCUGAGGAGCCGCCAGGCGCCGCUGCCAAGUCUCCGCUCCGCUUUUGUCUUGCCCUCCAGUGAAUGGGAAGAUGGAGAUGGAUGUGGAGGGAGUUUCUCCGCGCCCGGAGCCCAUCCCCCGCUCCCAGGGGGCUGGCGGAGCCUGCCCGGCGCCGCCACCGCCGCCCCAGCCCCAGCCCCAGCCGCCGCCGCCGCCGCAGCAGCUGGCUCAGGAUGAACUGCCCGGCGAGAGUGCCGGCGCCGAGGACAGCGACGAUCCCGAGGCGAGAGCCAGCGGCGAGCGAGGAGAGGGCAAGUAUUUCAGUGACAGGAUCCGCUCGGGAGAAUUGGGGCCGGGCUGGAUAAGGUUCUCAAGGAGCUGA
This 629-nucleotide long non-coding RNA is filed under the name Oryctolagus cuniculus (rabbit). RNAcentral's name for it is "lncRNA (ENSOCUG00000034669.1)". Lineage: Eukaryota; Metazoa; Chordata; Mammalia; Lagomorpha; Leporidae. The record is from RNAcentral.